GACGAACGCUGGCGGCGUGCCUAAUACAUGCAAGUAGAACGCUGAAGGAGGAGCUUGCUUCUCCGGAUGAGUUGCGAACGGGUGAGUAACGCGUAGGUAACCUGCCUGGUAGCGGGGGAUAACUAUUGGAAACGAUAGCUAAUACCGCAUAAGAGUAGAUGUUGCAUGACAUUUGCUUAAAAGGUGCAAUUGCAUCACUACCAGAUGGACCUGCGUUGUAUUAGCUAGUUGGUGGGGUAACGGCUCACCAAGGCGACGAUACAUAGCCGACCUGAGAGGGUGAUCGGCCACACUGGGACUGAGUCACGGCCCAGACUCCUACGGGAGGCAGCAGUAGGGAAUCUUCGGCAAUGGACGGAAGUCUGACCGAUCAUCGCCGCGUGAGGGAAGAAGGUUUG
RNAcentral lists this ribosomal RNA (398 nucleotides) under uncultured Streptococcus sp. Its description in RNAcentral is "bacterial SSU rRNA". It matches the Rfam family "Bacterial small subunit ribosomal RNA", at positions 28 to 418 of the family's 1533-position model. The record is from RNAcentral. Lineage: Bacteria; Bacillati; Bacillota; Bacilli; Lactobacillales; Streptococcaceae.